This 397-nucleotide ribosomal RNA is filed under the name uncultured bacterium. RNAcentral describes it as "partial 16S ribosomal RNA". It matches the Rfam family "Bacterial small subunit ribosomal RNA", at positions 359 to 774 of the family's 1533-position model. The record is from RNAcentral.
GAUCUUCCACAAUGGGCGAAAGCCUGAUGGAGCGACGCCGCGUGAGGGAUGAAGGUCUUCGGAUCGUAAACCUCUGUCUUCCGGGACGAUAGUGACGGUACCGGAGGAGGAAGCCACGGCUAACUACGUGCCAGCAGCCGCGGUAAUACGUAGGGGGCGAGCGUUGUCCGGAAUUACUGGGCGUAAAGGGUACGUAGGCGGCUAUAUAAGUCAGGUGUGAAAUACCAGUGCUUAACACUGGAAUUGCAUUUGAAACUGUGUAGCUUGAGUGCAGGAGAGGAAAGUGGAAUUCCUAGUGUAGCGGUGAAAUGCGUAGAGAUUAGGAGGAACACCAGUGGCGAAGGCGACUUUCUGGACUGUAACUGACGCUGAGGUACGAAAGCGUGGGUAGCGAACA